GACGAACGCUGGCGGCGUGCUUAACACAUGCAAGUCGAACGGAAAGGCCCUGCUUUUGUGGGGUGCUCGAGUGGCGAACGGGUGAGUAACACGUGAGUAACCUGCCCUUGACUUUGGGAUAACUUCAGGAAACUGGGGCUAAUACCGGAUAGGAGCUCCUGCUGCAUGGUGGGGGUUGGAAAGUUUCGGCGGUUGGGGAUGGACUCGCGGCUUAUCAGCUUGUUGGUGGGGUAGUGGCUUACCAAGGCUUUGACGGGUAGCCGGCCUGAGAGGGUGACCGGCAACUUUGGAGCUGGAAUAGGCCCGAGACCCCCAGGGGGGCCAGGAGGGGGAAAUAUGCCACAAGGGGCGGAGGCUUGAGGCAGCAACCCCGCGGGGGGGAGGCGGGCCUGCGGGUUGAAACCGGCUUCCGCCGGUGACGAAGGUUGAGGGACGUUAGUGGAAAAAGAACCCCCGCUUAACUCCGUG
RNAcentral lists this ribosomal RNA (468 nucleotides) under uncultured bacterium. RNAcentral describes it as "partial 16S ribosomal RNA". It matches the Rfam family "Bacterial small subunit ribosomal RNA", at positions 28 to 507 of the family's 1533-position model. The record is from RNAcentral.